This 65-nucleotide transfer RNA is filed under the name Sicista betulina (Northern birch mouse). Its description in RNAcentral is "tRNA-Cys". The record is from RNAcentral. Lineage: Eukaryota; Metazoa; Chordata; Mammalia; Rodentia; Dipodidae.
GGUUCCGAGGUGAAUUUCAUAUUGAAUUGCAAAUUCGAAGAAGCAGCUUUACCUCUGCCGGGGCU